CUCCUGAGAAGGAGCCUCCACACCCUCCCUGGGCAGCCUGGGCCAGGGCUCCCUCCCCUCAGCACCAAAGCACUUGCACCUCCUGGGCCAGGGGCACUUGCUGUGUCCCAGCCUCUGCCCCUUCCCCCUUGUCCUGCCACUGGCCACCACACACCCAAGUGGCACCUCCUGAGCCUUUCAGCACCUUGCAGGAGCCUUUAGGUGCUUGUGAGUGUUGCUGAGGUGCCCCUGAGCUCAGGCUUCUGUUCCCCAGGCUGAGCAGCCCCAGGGCUGCAGCCUUUCCUCAUAAGAAACUUGCUCCACUCCCUUGAUGGUCUGAUCACCUUGAUCAUCAAUAAGCCCUUAGAAGGAGGAAUGUGUGAGGCCUGAUGCCCUUCAGGUGGUGCAAAUUACAGUGGGCUGUGUGGCUGUUGGGGCUGUUGGGGCUGUUGGGUCUGUUGGGGCUGUUGGGUCUGUUUGGGCUGUUGGGUCUGUUGGAGCUGUUGGAUCUGUUGGAGCUGUUGGGGCUGUUGGGGCUGUUGGGUCUAUUGGAGCUGUUGGAGCUGUUGGAUCUGUUGGAGCUGUUGGAUCUGUUGGGGCUGUUGGAUUCUCCCUCUGAAUGCACCAGCACUGUGCAAGCUGUUUCUCUUUGCCCUCUUCUUGCAGGACCAGUCAGGCUUUGGGUUCUCCUUGUGCUUUCCUAUCAGCUGUUUGGCAGUUUGGUAACUUCAGGGUAACACUAAGAAAGGACUGCUGUGUCUCAUGUGUGCAAUGGAAGAAGCCACAUCUGGGUGUACAAAUGGCACAGCUUCCAAGGGGAAUCUGCCUGCCCAAGUCUCUGCAGCUGGCAUCAGAUCAUUCCUUCAAUUGUUCAGAGUGACCCUGAGCAUUAAUCCUCCUGUGCUCCUGUGCUGUGGAUUUAAUAAACACUCCCUUUACUCUGCCACCAGGCUGCCAUGAGGUCCAGGCUGCUCUCUCAGAUCC
This is a long non-coding RNA of Colius striatus (speckled mousebird), 963 nucleotides long. RefSeq lists it as uncharacterized. NCBI's taxonomy places the organism in Eukaryota, Metazoa, Chordata, Aves, Coliiformes, Coliidae. The transcript is spliced from 3 exons. The record is from RefSeq and is a predicted model, not a curated record.